This 7153-nucleotide long non-coding RNA is filed under the name Homo sapiens (human). RNAcentral describes it as "HSALNT0217510". The record is from RNAcentral. Lineage: Eukaryota; Metazoa; Chordata; Mammalia; Primates; Hominidae.
GAAUUUUAUGGAACCUUGUAUUCUGUUGAAUACCAGAAUUAUAUCAGCAAUCCCAAAGUCACCAAAUGGGCAUCAUCAUGACAGCAGACCGUGAUCAUGGGCUACAUUCUCCGUACCAGCUUCAUAGCUCCAGUGAGAAAAUAAAUUCCUGCAUCCAGGAGAUGUGGAGUAAGAGAUACAGCUGCCCUUGACCAUAUUUCUUACUUCCGAGAAGAUCGUAGCAGUAAUUCAGAUCAUUCAUCACCAAACUAUUCAGGAAAAACAAAAUCACCAAGUGGCAGGCCAUGAAGGAGAUGGAAGUAGAUGUGUCUAAGGAGAGACUCAUCUCUAGGUAGCAAGAGGGUCAAUGAGUUCUGAAUGCCCAGGGUUAAGAUAGGAAAGGUGAUAGACACAAAACUGUGCUACCGUGAUAUCCCUGGCAUAAAGAACAAACACAGUGCUGAGCACCGAGCUCCCAAACUCUACCACCAUAGCAUGGAAGUUAUGAUUUCUCACAAGACAGUAAACCACCUGUGACCACAUUGUACUGAGGCUGGAUUGGCCACUAGAAUUCUCAGAAAGAUGCUAUUGAAAACAUCUCAUUGUCUGACCACAUCAUGAGGCCUGAACCCAACCCCUCUCCACCCUGUACCCUGAAUGGAGAAUAAAGCUUAAAAGGUGCAUGACUCCUAUAUUUGAAAUUAGGGCUUUCUGUUCACUGAACUGAGCCCUCGUAGAAGCUGAAACUCUCAGUGCAAAUAUGCUCAACAUUCUAAAUUAUAAAUUAUGUGAGUUUCUUCUUCAUGCAGUACAGUCUUCAGGGAACACCAAGGCCUGUUUGAUUUUCCAAGUAUCAACAAGUGGAGUUGACAAGAGUGACAAGUGGUCAGAGCAAAGCAUUUCAUGAUGACUGUAACGUGCCUGUGUCAGCAGCGACUGCUUACAGUGAGAUUCACAUGACCAUCGUUUAUGACAUAGGAAGAAUAAAAGGAGAGAGAGAGAGAAAGAUAGGUAGUUGAUCAAAAUGAAGAAUUGGAUUUGGAAAGCAACUUCGAAUAGUCUCUGCUUAUAUUUCUGAGAUUAAGGCAAACAGUCUCAAGAAUCUCAUCCAGGAUACCUCAUCACAGGCUGGAGUGCAGUGUCAUGAGCUUGGCUCACUACAGCCUCCAUCUUCUGUGCUUAAGGAUCCUUCCCUCUCAACCUCCAAGGUAGCUGAGACUACAGGUAUGUGCCACCAUGCUGGACUAAUUUAUUGUUGUUGUUGUUGUUUGUUAGAUUUUUGGUAGAGGCAAGGUUUCACCAUGUUGCCCAGGCCAGAGUCAAACUCCUGGGCUCAAGUGAUAUUUAUUUUGUUAUAGAGAUGGGGUCUUAAUGUGGUGCCCAGGCUAGUCUGGGAUUACAGGUGUGAGCCACUGUGCCUUGCCAAAAACUGCCAUUCUCAUCAUAUCGUACCAAGAGUACAAACUCAACAAGGGUACAAACUGUCAACCAGAGUAGACAUUCAUUAUUGGCAGAAUGUCUACAAAUUCCUUUAAACCUUCACCAUAAACAUGUGCCUACUCUCUUCCAAUUAUUUCAUGUGUAUUAAUUUAUUCAUUUAUACAUGCAUCUUUUAUUUAUAUCAUUAUCUAAAUAUGGAGAUUUAUUUUACAAUGCGUAUGUGCUAUUUUUUUUUUUUUGAGACAGAGCCUUUCUCUGUUGCCCAGGCUGGAGUGCAAUGGUGCGAUCUCAGCUCAUCGCAACCUCUGCCCCCUGGGUUCAAGCGAUUCUAGUGCCUCAGUUUCCUGACUGGCUGGGAUUACAGGCAUGAGACACUACACCUGGCUAAGUUUUGUGUUUUUAGUAGAGACAGGGUUUCACCAUGUUGGCCAGGUUGGUCUUAAACUCCAUACCUCAGAUGAUCCACCCUCCUCGGCCUCCCAAAGUGCUGGGAUUACAGGCAUGAGCCACCAUGCUUGGCCGCUAUUUUUUUUUUUAAUUGCACAAAUUGUUCCAGUGUUGGCUAUUGGAAGGUUUUUAAGUUGUCUCUUGUAUCACUUUGAAAUACCUCCAUAAUUAAAGUUUGAUGUUGUGUGGUUGGUUGGUUUUGUUGUUGUUUGGCAUUUUCUUUUGUUCAGUCACUAUUAUAUGCUCCAGUCUAUGAAUUUAAUUGUGCUCCAGGGUAAUUUGGUAAUUUUAUAAUUUCUACGAAUGUUUCCAACACCAUAUGACCUAAUCCAGCACCAUAUAAAUGGAUCCACUCAUUCUCUCAUUUGUAUGUAAUCUAGCACUCCCUGCAAGCAAGUUGAUGUUGUUAAUUUAAUCAUGCUACCUGAACAAGGUAUAUUGCUAUGUAGAAAAAUACAAGUUGAAACAGUCAAAAUACUGUGUAAUUCCAUUCAUAUGACUCUGUAGAAAAGGAAAAAGUGUAGUGAUAGUAGAGUUCAGUGGUAACAAGGGGCUUGGGAGAGAUAUAGGUGACAUCAGUGAACUACCGAAGAUUUCUUUUGGGCAGUGAAAUUCCUCUUUGAUACUGUAACGGUGGAUACAUCAUAAUGUUUUCCAAAUCCUGAAGAACUUUGUAACACAAAGAGUGUAGCUAAUUUAUGCAAAUUAAAAACCUUAUUUAGGAGGUCACAAGUUUGCCUUUUCACAGUAUUUUACCUUUUCCAACUUAUAUUUUUUAGCAAUAUGCUUUUUAGAUUUUUGAAGUACACCUCAUGGUUUUUAGAUUUGCCUUCACCUAAUUGUUGUAGGACAGGUGAGUCACACAAUUGGGGCUUAUCCUGAGAGGGUUAUUAGCUUUGUCCAGGAAAGAAUUUAAGGGCAAGUGGGUGAUGUUAGACUGCAAUAUUUUAUUGAAUGGUACUGCUCCUAGCAGAGCAGGGCUAACUCUUAAGCAGUGUGUUCAGAGUUGGCAACAUAUAGGCCUCCUGGCAACUGUGUUUAUAUGCAAUCAAACCCACUUUUAAUUAUAUGCAAAUUGAGGGGCAGAUCAAUGCAAAUUGAGGCAGGAAAGGGGCAGUGACUUCUAGGUUGUCUCCAUGGAAAGGGGCAGUAACUUCUGAGCUGUAGCCAUGGAAUUUGUAAACAGUUAUGUGGUUGGUAGGAGUGUCAUAUGAGUGACAAAUGAAGACUGCCAGGGAUCACAUUUACCACAAUGUACACGCUUCUGUCAGUUUUUUCCCUUUAUCCUGUCUGGAGCAGAUCUUAUUUUGGUCAUCAAGGUUGUGAAACCAGAAAACAAGUCCUUCCAGUCUCCUACCUCAUAAUGACAAAAGACAUUGAGCAUAAUUUCAUGUGAUUUUGGAUAUGACUAUGGCUUUCUUUUGAGAGUUGGCUAUUUAAGAUUUUGCCAUUUUUGAUUGGGAUAUUUGCCUUUUUAAUUUUGAGUUGUAAGACAUUGUAUAUUCUGGAUAAUAGACCAUUAUCACCUAUAAAAUUUGCAAUUUUCACAUAUUUUCUGCCAUUCUUUGGGUGCCUCUUUAUAUUUGAUGGUGGACUUUAAAUUGCAAAAGAUUUUAAUUCUAAUGAAGUUUAAUAUUUCUAUAUUUUCUUCUUUCCUUUGUGCUUUUCAGUGUCAUAUCUUAAAACAUUGUUUAACCAGAGACCACAAAGAUGUAUUCCUGUGUUCCUUUUUAUGGGUUGGCCCUGUUUAGCUCUUAUAUUUAGAUGGAUUAUCAUUUUGAGUCAAUUAUGUUUCUGGUAUGAGGCAAGAGUCUAACUUGCAUGUGGAUAUCCACUUGACCCACAAACAUUUGACAAGAAAAUAUUGCUUCAUACCUAAUUUAUUUGGCCACAGUAUAAAAGCAUUUCACCAUAAAUGUAGGGAUUCAUUUUUCAGUAUUAUAUUCUCUACUCCAUUGAUCAAUACAUAUAUCCCUAUACUAGUACCACAAAUCUUGAUUACUAUUACUUUGUAGUAAGUUUUGCAAUCAAGAAGCAUAUGUCUACUAUGCAAACCCUUUUUGUCCUUCUCAAGAGUGUUUUGGCUGCUCAUGAUCUAUAUUAUAUAUAAUUUUAGGAUAAACUUCUGAAUUUAGGGGAAGGUAAUGCCACCUGGUGUUUUGAGAGAAGUUGCAUUAAUUCUAUAGAUCCAUUUGGAAAAUAUUGCCAACCUAACAAUAUGCAUUCUGUAGUUUUUAGUGUACAUAUCUUAUACUUAAUUUGAUAAGGUUAUUCCUAAGUAUUUUUGAUGUGAUCUUAAUUGGAACGAUUUUCUGAGUUUUGUUUUUAGAUUGUUAAUUGCUAGUAUAGAGAAAUUUAAAAUAUUUUAUAUAUUUUAUAUGCUGCAAACUUCUUUGAACUCAUCUUUAAAUUCUAAACAUAUUUGAUAGAGUCCUUUGGACUUUUUAUACAUGAGAUCAUGUCAUUUGCAAACAGUCGGAGUUUGACUUCCUUUCCAUACUAGAAACGUUAUAUUUAUUUUUCUAAAUGAAUUGCCCUGUCUACAUUCUCCAGUACAAUGUUGCGAACAAGUGUCAACAGUGGAAAUAUUUGACUUCUUUCUAAUAUCAGAGAAAUUAGUGAACCUUUCAGAUUACUUAUGAUGAUAUGUGAGCUUUUCAUAGAUGCCCUUUGAAAUGAAGAAAGUUCUCUUAUCUGCCUAAUUUGCUGCAUGUUUUUAUAAUACUGAAUCUGGGAAUUUUCAAGUGCUUGUUGCACACCUUCUGAGACGAUUGUGUAGUUUUUAUUCUUUAUUAAUAUAGUGUAUGACAUUAAUUGUAUCAUAUGUUGAACCAAAUUUGCAUUCCUGAGGUAAAUACCUUUUGCCAUAGUUUAUAAUACUUUCUACAUGUUGCUGAUUUCAUUUGAUAAUAUCUCGCUGCUGAUUUUUGUCUCUGUAUUUAUAAGGCAUAUUGGUCUUCAUUCUCCUUAUUUGAAAUGUCUUUGUGUAGUUGUUCAAUCAGGGUAAACUAAUUCAUAGUAUACAAUGGGAAGUGAUCUAUUUUCUACUUCUUUAUUAUUAUUGUAUUGUUUUGAAAUAUUUUUGAUAAAUUAGUAUUAAUUUUAAGUGAUUUUAAUAACACAUCAAUGAGUUCCUGAUGAGGGCAGGGAGGUGAAUCCUAAGAACAAUCAUGUGAGUUUGGAAGGAGACCCUUCCCCAGCUGAGCCUCAGCCUGAGCCAUCCCCUACAUCUAGACCGAAGACCCAGAGAAACCGUGAGUAGUAUGUGUGUGGUUCUGAGCCACUAAGGUAUGUAGUAAUUUGUUAUGCACCAAGUAGUAAGUAAUAUACCUGACAGUAAUUGUUAGGUGGUAUUCUGGAUUAGGUCCUGGAAUAGAUAAGUAUAUGAUUAUUAGAAAACCUGGUAAAAUAUGAAGGAAGUUUGUAGAUCAGUUAAUAGUCUUGAAAAACAGUUAAAUUCUUAGUUUUCAUGAAUAUGCUAUGGUUACAAUAUAUAUUAACAUUCUAGUUAUCUGAAUGGUAUAUGAAACUGUCUGUACUUACCUAUGUGCAUUUAUGUAAAUCUGCAGUUAUUUCAAAAUAAAUAUGUUUUUUAAUAUUAUUAUUAUUUUUUUAAGAAAAGUAAGCAAGUAAAGACAUCAGCAAAAAACUUUUGCCUCCAGAUACAAGUGGGCAUGUAGGGAGAGAAUAGUAAACUGGCUUUUCUUUUCUUUUCUAGGCAACAUUCGAAACCCAGGUGCCACUCCUUCAGGAAGGUACCAUCAAGCUCCAAGGACUCAUCCUCUUUCUCCUUCCCCACUACCUAGUCAUUAGAGCGUCAGCAUCCACUUCCUGAAAGGAAGAUGCCUGUUUUUCACAUAUCCCAGAAAGCCUCAUUUUAGGACAGCAUUUAGCAGAGUGUAUUCAGGAUCCCACUAACCUUUUCGGAAGACAUGACUUCCAGAUGAUAUAAGGCAAGAAUAAGAAAUUUCAGUGACAGGGAACAGAAAUCAUAUUUCUGCAUUCAGGAUCAUGUUUUCUUGGCUCCAUCAGGAACUGUGCAGGACUGUGCACUCUGUUGAUACUCACAUGGUGGAAUUAUAUUGCCCUUGGCCAACCCUAAAGCCAUCAAGAUAGCAGGUUUGGAAUAAUUCACUGUCGAAGUCUUCUUGAGCUGAGCAGUCAUGUGAGCUUGGAAGAUGAUCCCUCUCCAGCUGAUCCUUCAGCUCAGGCCAUCAUCUACAUCUGGAUUCCUGACCCGGAGAAACUAUGAGUAAUGUGUGCUGCUUUUGAGCCACUAAGCUACAUGAAUUAAUGAAGGAUCAUUAUUAAGUUUUUAAUGGGUCAAGAGAAAGUUACCACUGAGGUCUUCUCUACCUGGGCAACAAUUGACUCCUAACAACCACUAUAAGCUUGGAAGAUGAUCCCUCCCCAGCUGAUCCUUCAGUUCACAUGAAGCAUUUGGAAGUAAACACACGAUGGACUGAACACUUUGCUGCUUAGAAACUUCUUCUUCCAGAUUCCCUAGUUCAUCAUUAAGUAGUUAGGCCUCUCACAAAGCCCUUGGUCACGGAUACAGGUCAGCCGUUCUUUACCCAAUCAAAACAGGGAUGGCCUUUACUGCAGUUACUAAUAUCUUGUUUUUUAGUUUCAUCUGACAUUUUGUCAGAAUGGCCCUUAUGUCAGUAUUUCUAUCAGCAGUGAGGACUAAACUCUGAUUUUUUUAUCUUGCCCAAAUUCCUAUCUAAAAGGUCUGGGGAGUCAUGCCCUACAAAUGAUAAAUUCUCAUCAGAUGGGUUUUAUUUGACCCUGUAUAUCGUGACUUACUUUCCAACCUGACUGUGGCAUAACAUUACAAAAGAAGGAAGAAAAUCAAAAUAUUUUACUCCAAAAACAUGUUUCUUUGUUGCAUUUUGAAAUGGUCCUGCAAGCCAUCCUUUGUGGAGGAAAAUUCACGUCUGUAAAGAAUCUCUAUUAGCCUCUAUAUCUAUAGAGGUUAAUAUAUAUCUAUAUGUUAGCCUCUAUAUAUAUAAUAUAAUAUAAUCUAUAUCUAUAACCUCUAUAUCUAUAUCUGUAAAGAAUCUCUAUUAACCUCUAUAUCGAGGUAUAAUCUCUAUACCUCGACCUUUGUCUGUCAGGCCCUUCCAAUUCUGAAUAGAUUAGGUAAGAGUGUAGCACCUUUUAAAGUCUGAAUAGGCAACAUUUGUCAUCUAUUAUCUCUAAGUGCAAUGGCUAUGAGACUUCAAAAGAACCUUGGUCUCCAAAGUCUUUUGUCUUAACCUGAACAUUUCCUUUCUAUUGAUCCCAG